GUGGGGAAUCUUGCGCAAUGGGCGAAAGCCUGACGCAGCCAUGCCGCGUGAAUGAUGAAGGUCUUAGGAUUGUAAAAUUCUUUCACCGGGGACGAUAAUGACGGUACCCGGAGAAGAAGCUCCGGCUAACUUCGUGCCAGCAGCCGCGGUAAUACGAAGGGGGCUAGCGUUGCUCGGAAUUACUGGGCGUAAAGGGCGCGUAGGCGGACAGCUUAGUCAGAGGUGAAAGCCCAGGGCUCAACCUUGGAAUUGCCUUUGAUACUGGCUGUCUUGAGUUUGGGAGAGGUGAGUGGAACUCCGAGUGUAGAGGUGAAAUUCGUAGAUAUUCGGAAGAGCACCAGUGGCGAAGGCGACUCACUGGCCCAAUACUGACGCUGAGGCGCGAAAGCGUGGGGAGCAAACAGGAUUAGAAACCCUAGUAGUCC
RNAcentral lists this ribosomal RNA (425 nucleotides) under uncultured bacterium. RNAcentral's name for it is "partial 16S ribosomal RNA". It matches the Rfam family "Bacterial small subunit ribosomal RNA", at positions 354 to 796 of the family's 1533-position model. The record is from RNAcentral.